This 72-nucleotide transfer RNA is filed under the name Camelus bactrianus (Bactrian camel). It matches the Rfam family "tRNA". Rfam says of the family: Transfer RNA (tRNA) molecules are approximately 80 nucleotides in length. Lineage: Eukaryota; Metazoa; Chordata; Mammalia; Artiodactyla; Camelidae. The record is from Rfam by way of RNAcentral. RNAcentral also lists the same sequence under 1 other name.
GCAGGCAUAGCUCAGUGGUACAGCAAGUGCUUAGCAGGCACAAGUUCCUGAGUUCAAUCCCCAGUGCCUCCA